UAUGAACGCUGGCGGCGUGCCUAAUACAUGCAAGUCGAGCGGUAAGGCCCUUCGGGGUACACGAGCGGCGGACGGCAGAGUAACACGUAGGAACGUACCCCAAAGUGAGGGAUAGCCCACCGAAAGGUGGAUUAAUACCGCAUGUGGUCUUCGGAUUAAAGCAGCAAUGCGCUUUGGGAACGGCCUGCGUAAGAUUAGCUAGUUGGUGAGGUAACGGCUCACCAAGGCGACGAUCUUUAGCUGGUCUGAGAGGAUGAUCAGCCUGACUGGGACUGAGACACGGCCCAGACUCCUACGGGAGGCAGCAGUAGGGAAUUUUCCACAAUGGGCGAAAGCCUGAUGGAGCAACGCCGCGUGCAGGAUGAAGGCCUUCGGGUUGUAAACUGCUUUUGUCUGAGAAGAAUAUGACGGUAACAGACGAAUAAGGGUCUGCUAACUACGUGCCAGCAGCAGCCGCGG
Molecule: ribosomal RNA, 459 nt
Filed under: uncultured bacterium
Lineage: Bacteria
Description: partial 16S ribosomal RNA
Rfam family: Bacterial small subunit ribosomal RNA
Source: RNAcentral